UACAGAAAAAUCCAAUUUAAGUAAGAUUCAAAUAAGUAUAUAAAGAAUAUUCUGCAAUAAUUAGUCUGUAAAAAUUUUAAAAAUUCGCGUUUAAUUUUAUCUACUCAUUUGUCAGAAAGGUUCAAUAUAAAAUAUUUAGAAGAUUUGGGGAUGUUCGAGCAAGCAAAUAACUGCGGCAAUAUUGCAACCCUGAUGUUUUUUUGCAGAUACUCAGCUGAUACUUAAUCAAAUAUUUUGCGCGGCGUGCAGGUAGAAGUGGAAUUUAAUAAGUCUAAAAAAUGAAUUUUUUAAUAAAUUUAACAGUAGAUAACAUGGUGGAUAGCGAGUGCAGUUUGCUUCUUAAAUAUAAAAAAGCAAGAAAACAAAGCUUUUUACGUAAAAAAAAGUGGCUUAUGACCGAAAUUUUAAAGAAGAGGGCGAUAGUAAAAUCGCAAAACUUCUUUAAAACAAUUCAAAUUUAUCCUUCGGAUAUAUAUUUAUCACAUUUUCGGAUGUCUCGUGAAACAUUUGGUGUAAGUUUUCUGAUUUAAAUAAUCGCCUAAAUAAACACAUACAUAAAUACUUCGUAGGAAUUAAAGAGCGGCUUGGAACCUUUUUGGUUAUCGUCACGCGGGGAAUAUUCAAUGGAUCAGGCUUUGCAUAUUACCUUGUGGAAGCUGAGUAAUAGUAGAGUUACUUAUCGUGAACUAUCAGAUAAGUUUGAUGUUUCAAAAGGGACUGCCCACAAAAUUUUUCUUAAAACGAUUAAUGCAAUUUGCAAGUUAAAAAAUGAAAUAUGUUGGCCAUCAAUUUCCCAGCAGCAAACAGUAAUGGAGCGUUUCCAAGCGAGCCGGCCGAAUGCAUUUCCUUUCGUAGUUGGCUGUUUGGAUGGGACACAUUUUAAAAUAAACACACCCUUCUUCGAUGCAAUUAGCUACUAUGACCGAAAGGGGAACUAUUCCAUUAUUAUGCAGGGCAUAUGCGACAGCACAUUUCGUUUCUUGGAUGUUUUCAUCGGAUACCCAGGGAGCUGCCAUGACGCCAACGUAUGGAAAAAUAGUCCGAUAUACAAAGGAAUUACGUCUGGAGAGAUACAACUUGCAAAAGAUGCUAUAAUUUUAGCUGACUCAGCUUAUCCUCUUACGAAAUAUUUGAUCGCGCCUUAUAGAGAUAAUGGACAUCUGUUGAGAGAGGAGAAACAAUUUAAUUAUUAUUUAAGUUCAACUCGAGUAUUCAUAGAACAAGCUUUUGGGAUUUUGAGGGGAAAGUUCAAAAUUUUAAAUCAUAUUGAUAUUCAAAAUAUGGAAGAUGUAUCAAAAGUAGUAUUAGCUUGAGUAAUUCUGCAUAAUUUAAUAAUGCGGAACAAUUUUAAUGAUCCUGAAGUCAAUUAUCUAUUGGAAAAUUUGGAAACACAUAAUGAAAACGAUGCUGAAACGCCUGACAACAUAAAUGAUACUAACGAAGGUAUUAUCAGAAGAAAUAAUUUAAAAAUGUUGUUUGUUUCUUAAAUUAUAUAUUUUUUAAUAAAAAUGUUAGUAAAUAAAUA
Long non-coding RNA from Bactrocera neohumeralis, 1525 nucleotides. RefSeq lists it as uncharacterized. NCBI's taxonomy places the organism in Eukaryota, Metazoa, Arthropoda, Insecta, Diptera, Tephritidae. The transcript has 2 exons. The record is from RefSeq and is a predicted model, not a curated record.